CCUACGGGCGGCAGCAGUGGGGAAUAUUGCACAAUGGGCGAAACCCUGAUGCAGCGACGCCGCGUGAGUGAAGAAGUACUUCGUUAUGGAAAGCUUCAUCAGCAGGGAAGAAAAUGACGGUACCUGAGUAAGAAGCGCCGGCUAAUGACGUGCCAGCAGCCGCGGUAAUACGUAGGGGACCAGCGUUAUCCGGAUUUACUGGGGGUAAAGGGAGCGUAGACGGCAGUGCAGGUCUGGAGUGAAAGGCGGGGGGUCAACCCGCGGACUGCUGUGGAAACUGUAAGGCUGGAGUGCAGGAGAGGUAAGUGGAAUUCGUGGUGUAGCGGUGAAAUGCGUAGAUAUCAGGAAGAACACCAGUGGCGAAGGCAGCUUACUGGACUGUAACUGACGUUGAGGCUCGAAAGCGUGGGGAGCAAACAGGAUUAGAUACCCUUGUAGUC
This 440-nucleotide ribosomal RNA is filed under the name uncultured bacterium. RNAcentral's name for it is "partial 16S ribosomal RNA". It matches the Rfam family "Bacterial small subunit ribosomal RNA", at positions 338 to 795 of the family's 1533-position model. The record is from RNAcentral.